AGGACGAACGCUGGCGGCGUGCCUAACACAUGCAAGUCGAGCGAGGAGAUCCUUCGGGAUGAUCCUAGCGGCGGACGGGUGAGUAACACGUGGGCAACCUGCCUCAUAGAGAGGAAUAGCCUUCCGAAAGGGAGAUUAAUACCUCAUAACAUUGCAGUUUCGCAUGGAACAGCAAUUAAAGGAGCAAUCCACUAUGAGAUGGGCCCCGCGGCGCAUUAGCUAGUUGGUGAGGUGACGGCUCACCAAGGCGACGAUGCGUAGCCGACCUGAGAGGGUGAUCGGCCACAUUGGGACUGAGACACGGCCCAGACUCCUACGGGAGGCAGCAGUGGGGAAUAUUGCACAAUGGGGGAAACCCUGAUGCAGCAACGCCGCGUGAGUGAUGACGGCCUUCGGGUUGUAAAGCUCUGUCUUCAGGGACGAUAAUGACGGUACCUGAGGAGGAAGCCACGGCUAACUACGUGCCAGCCGCCGC
RNAcentral lists this ribosomal RNA (475 nucleotides) under uncultured bacterium. Its description in RNAcentral is "bacterial SSU rRNA". It matches the Rfam family "Bacterial small subunit ribosomal RNA", at positions 26 to 518 of the family's 1533-position model. The record is from RNAcentral.